CCUACGGGAGGCAGCAGUUUCGAAUCGUUCACAAUGGGGGCAACCCUGAUGGCGCGACGCCGCGUGGGGGAUGAAGGUCUUCGGAUUGUAAACUCCUGUCAUUGGGGACUAACGGCCAGGCUCAUACCCUGGUUUGAAUUAACCCAAAGAGGAAGCAGUGGCUAACUCUGUGCCAGCAGCCGCGGUAAUACAGAGACUGCAAGCGUUACUCGGAUUCACUGGGCGUAAAGGGAGCGCAGGCGGAUUAGUGUGUCAGGCGUGAAAUCCCGGGGCUCAACCCCGGUACCGCGCCCGAAACUACUAAUCUAGAGACUUGGAGGGGUAAGCGGAAUUCUUGGUGGAGCAGUGAAAUGCGUAGAUAUCAAGAGGAACACCAACGGCGAAGGCAGCUUACUGGACAAGAUCUGACGCUCAGGCUCGAAAGCGUGGGGAGCAAAAGGGAUUAGAUACCCCUGUAGUCCACGCUGUAAACGGUGCGCAUUAGGUCUUGGAGCUUUCGAACGCUCCAGGGCUCAAGCUAACGCAUUAAAUGCGCCGCCNGAGACGACGCCGCGAGACGAAACUAAAGUAAGAGUAGACGNGNGAGAGAGACGACGACGACGACGAGGAGGAGG
Molecule: ribosomal RNA, 614 nt
Filed under: uncultured bacterium
Lineage: Bacteria
Description: bacterial SSU rRNA
Rfam family: Bacterial small subunit ribosomal RNA (bases 1-539)
Source: RNAcentral